Molecule: ribosomal RNA, 762 nt
Filed under: Bacteroides sp. baku-04
Lineage: Bacteria; Pseudomonadati; Bacteroidota; Bacteroidia; Bacteroidales; Bacteroidaceae
Description: bacterial SSU rRNA
Rfam family: Bacterial small subunit ribosomal RNA
Source: RNAcentral
GCUCAGGAUGAACGCAGCUACAGGCUUACACAUGCAAGUCGAGGGGCAGCAUGGUCUUAGCUUGCUAAGGCCGAUGGCGACCGGCGCACGGGUGAGUAACACGUAUCCAACCUGCCGUCUACUCUUGGACAGCCUUCUGAAAGGAAGAUUAAUACAAGAUGGCAUCAUGAGUCCGCAUGUUCACAUGAUUAAAGGUAUUCCGGUAGACGAUGGGGAUGCGUUCCAUUAGAUAGUAGGCGGGGUAACGGCCCACCUAGUCUUCGAUGGAUAGGGGUUCUGAGAGGAAGGUCCCCCACAUUGGAACUGAGACACGGUCCAAACUCCUACGGGAGGCAGCAGUGAGGAAUAUUGGUCAAUGGGCGAGAGCCUGAACCAGCCAAGUAGCGUGAAGGAUGACUGCCCUAUGGGUUGUAAACUUCUUUUAUAAAGGAAUAAAGUCGGGUAUGGAUACCCGUUUGCAUGUACUUUAUGAAUAAGGAUCGGCUAACUCCGUGCCAGCAGCCGCGGUAAUACGGAGGAUCCGAGCGUUAUCCGGAUUUAUUGGGUUUAAAGGGAGCGUAGAUGGAUGUUUAAGUCAGUUGUGAAAGUUUGCGGCUCAACCGUAAAAUUGCAGUUGAUACUGGAUAUCUUGAGUGCAGUUGAGGCAGGCGGAAUUCGUGGUGUAGCGGUGAAAUGCUUAGAUAUCACGAAGAACUCCGAUUGCGAAGGCAGCCUGCUAAGCUGCAACUGACAUUGAGGUCGAAGUGUGGUAUCAAACAGGAU